GGGUACCUUCAAGAUGCACAGCUCUUAACCACACACCCUUAGUCCCCGUCGACGGGGNUUUACACACCAAGAUGCUUCUUCACCCACGCGGCGUUGCUGCGUCAGGGUUUCCCCCCAUUGCGCAAAAUUCCCC
This 133-nucleotide ribosomal RNA is filed under the name uncultured bacterium. Its description in RNAcentral is "partial 16S ribosomal RNA". The record is from RNAcentral.